AUGGGCGGCAACAUGGCCAAACCUGCCAUACCCAAGCACCACCACCAGUCCCCUCCUCCUCUCCUUCCUCCGCCGCCGCAUGGUCCCCGCGAAAUGGCCUCUCUGCCGAUCCCCGACGACCUCCUGCCAGAAAUCUUCAUCCGCCUGCCUACCCCAACCGAUCUCGUCCGAGCCUCCGCCGCGUGUGUCACCUUCCGCCGCGUCGUUGCUGAUCGAUCCUUCCUCCGGCGGUACCGCAAGCUCCACGCCCCGCCCCUCCUCGGCUUCCUCAAUCCGCAUAGCGGCUUCCACCCCGCCGUGCCGCCUCACCCCUCUGCGUCGGCAGCCUGCGCCGUUGCCCUUGCCGUCGACUUCUCCUUCUCUUUUGUCCCCGCGCCAGCCACUUCUUACCGCUGGACCGUCCGGGACAUCCGCGACGGCCGCUUCCUGCUAGUCAGCGCCGGCCAUGGUUUUUGGUGUGGAGAAACGGUGGUCUGCGACCCCUUGCACCGGCGAUACAUCCGGCUUCCACCAAUCCCUGACGACCUAGCUGCUAUGGUGGCAAACCCGGGUUUUUCCGAGACUUUUCUAGUUCCCCGGUGGAACGGCCAUGAUGAUGAGGCAGCAGCUGCGGAAGAGACAUCAUUCAGAGUCAUGGGUAUAGUGUACUGCGAAGCUAACGUCAUCUCCUUUAUCUUCUCUUCCAGCACCAUACAAUGGCGAGCCAUUGCAUCCCAUAGUUGGAGCGAUAUGUUACCUGGCUUGCUAUCGUCGAUGGAGGAGAGACUCUUCUGCUGGCGCUAG
This 783-nucleotide ribosomal RNA is filed under the name Triticum aestivum (bread wheat). RNAcentral describes it as "partial small subunit ribosomal RNA". The record is from RNAcentral. Lineage: Eukaryota; Viridiplantae; Streptophyta; Magnoliopsida; Poales; Poaceae.